RNAcentral lists this small RNA (827 nucleotides) under Pan troglodytes (chimpanzee). RNAcentral describes it as "retained intron". Lineage: Eukaryota; Metazoa; Chordata; Mammalia; Primates; Hominidae. The record is from RNAcentral.
GUGAUGCCCAACCGCCAUCUCUCCUGGUAUGGGGGUCCCUCAGCUCUCCCUUCCUCCCCACAGGUAAUGGACAGCUCAAUGCCGCUGAUUGGAGAGCAUGUGGAAGAGGACAGACAGCUGAUGGCCGACCUUGUUGUCUCCAAAAUGAGCCAGCUCCCGAUGCCAGGAGGCACAGCGCCCUCCCCCCUCAGACCUUGGGCUCCACAGAUUAAAUCAGCGAAAUCCCCAGGGCAAGCCCAGCUGGGGCCUCAGCUAGGACAGCCCCAGCCACGCCCACCUCCGCAAGGAGGCCCUCGCCAAGCUCAGUCUCCUCAGCCCCAGAGAUCUGGAAGCCCCUCCCAACAGAGGCUCUCCCCACAAGGCCAGCAGCCCCUGAGCCCCCAGUCCGGAUCUCCACAGCAGCAAAGGUCACCAGGCUCUCCGCAGCUAUCCCGGGCAUCCAGUGGCAGCUCCCCAAACCAGGCCUCCAAGCCAGGUGCCACCCUCACCUCACAGCCCCGGCCCCCUGUGCAGGGCCGUAGUACCUCCCAGCAGGGUGAAGAGUCCAAGAAGCCAGCACCACCCCAUCCGCAUCUCAACAAAUCUCAGUCCCUGACUAACAGCCUCAGCACAUCCGACACCUCCCAGCGUGGGACCCCAAGUGAAGACGAGGCCAAGGCUGAAACCAUCCGCAACCUGAGGAAGUCUUUUGCCAGCCUGUUCUCUGACUAACGCCAUCCAGGCUGGGAGGGGAGGAGUGCUCUGCUACACUCGUCCCCCUCCUGCCUCAUCUUCCUUCUCAGCCUUGGUUCCUGAUGGGAACAGAAUGGAGGGCCUGAGAACAUACU